RNAcentral lists this ribosomal RNA (115 nucleotides) under Candidatus Woesearchaeota archaeon. The record is from RNAcentral. Lineage: Archaea; Nanobdellati; Candidatus Woesearchaeota.
UAGGACGGCCAUAGGGGCUUGGUGAUACCCGGUCUCAUCUCGAACCCGGAAGUCAAGAAAGCCUCCGUUUCUGGUUGUACUGUAUUCUUACGGGAAGCCAGGAAAGCUGUCCGCC